Molecule: long non-coding RNA, 2032 nt
Filed under: Homo sapiens (human)
Lineage: Eukaryota; Metazoa; Chordata; Mammalia; Primates; Hominidae
Description: non-protein coding lnc-CLEC18B-7:7
Source: RNAcentral
GUAGAUGGCUCUUACUAUGUUGUUCAGGCUGGUCUCUUACUCCUGGCCUCAAGUGAUCCUCCUGCCUCAGCCUCCCAGUGUUGGGACUACAAGCACCAGCCACUGCCCCCAACCCUGCAUUAUGUUCUUAAAGGCAGACCUGAAUCCUGUGCGGUGUCAAUUCAGGUGUGCACUGGCCCCUGAGCCUUACAUACAGGACCCGUUCCUUAGGAUGACGUUGCGUUCCCUUGCUUAGAGCCUCAGCACCAUGGCACCUGGCUCUCCCCCGAUGCCUGGGUCUUGCUCUUGCCCAUUUCCUAGCCAGGGUUUGUGGUCCAGGCAACCUGUCACAUCAGUGUGUUCCAAACAUGGCACCCAGAUCUCAAAAGCUUCUUCAACGCUCCCAUGGUUUGGGAUACACCUCAAGUUUUAACUUACGUACUUCAAGUUUCUUUUAUUCAAUUAGAUACAAACCGUCUGACUUUUGGCUUCUGAAACAGGAAAGUCAAUUUUGUUGUUUUCACUGUACCAUGCUUUUUUAUCUCAGAAUCUUGAUGAACUCUGAAAUGACCCCUGAUGGGGGCAUGCCUCUAUUUAUGCUGAAUAAGAGCCAUUUUACAUUUUACUACAGGUUGAGUGCCCCUAAUCCAAAAAUUUGAAAUGCUCCAAAAUCUGAAACUUUUUGAGCACUUACAUGGUAUUGAAAGGAAAUGCUCAUUGGAACAUUUCCUAUUAGGCAUGCUCAGCCGUUAAGCAUAAUGCAAAUAUUAAAAAAAAAAAUUUCCUAAAUCUUUUAAUACUUCUGGUUCCAAGCAUUUCAGAUAAGGGAUACUCAAGCUCUACCUAUUCCCAAAUUCCCACUAACUAGCUCUUUGGCAGGUCUAUGGAAUAAAAAUCGAUGCUUCUGAUUACUUUAAGGCAUUAUAACCUCAUGAAGUGGUUUCUGAGAUGCAACUGAGUUUUUGUGCUAUUUUAUUGUAUUCUUAUAUCUUUGAAGAUGAAUAAUCCACGUAGUGCAUUUGAGAGGUUCUAUCUGUUCAAGAGAGGAAAUUUAAUAUCCGUGACUACUGUAUGUCAAAUGAUUUAGUGCCUUAUUUAAUUUGUUCCUCUAGGAGUCCUGUGCACUUAUCUUGGGGGAAACAUUGUUCCAUUCUUAGUAACAUGCCUGUUUGGCCUGUGGUCUGAGGUACUUACAACUUGCUGCAGUGUGGUAAAUGUGUCCCUUUUGAAACACUGUUCUGGGGACUUCAGAGAUGACGGACUGCAACCUACCACCUCAUAAAUGAGGGAUCUGAGGUACAAACUGGAACCCGGGUCUUCUGGGCUCAGAGAACUCUCCUCACUACAGCAGACUGCCUGUUUCCAUUUAGGGGAAUGAGAUGCUCUUUCAUAAAUGAUACCAAGUGCAAGAGAACUUAAGGCAGCUCCAAUCGAAGACUGUCUUGGCUGCUUCUGGAAACUACAGAUCACUACUCCCGAAGUCAAAAACGACUAGAACACAGCUUAAAAAUCAAGCCAUUUAAUUGUAUCUUUGAAGGUAAACAAUAUAUGGAGCUGGAUCACAACCCCUGAGGAUGCCAGAGCUAUGGGUCCAGAACAUGGUGUGGUAUUAUCAACAGAGUUCAGAAGGGUCUGAACUCUACGUGUUACCAGAGAACAUAAUGCAAUUCAUGCAUUCCACUUAGCAAUUUUGUAAAAUACCAGAAACAGACCCCAAGAGUCUUUCAAGAUGAGGAAAAUUCAACUCCUGGUUUUAGAGAUAAAUGAAUGAAGAGUACCAAAAUAUUUGUUGACUUCUCUUCAUUUUUCUCAUACAAUCUGAAGCCUGAGCUGACUAUCAUAUCCCCAACUCACAGCAGCGAAAGCUGCAGUUCAGAUUUGAGAUCAGUCUCCAUUCACUUCCACGUAGCACCACAGCAAGAGUGACCGGAGGCAGAGAGCUCUUGUUGGGUCAGCUUUCUAAUAAGCAUGUCAAGUGAAAAAGAACCCUCUAGCAGCACACUGAUUUAGUUUGUAAGAUUUUAAUUUACAAAUUAAAAAAGCUAUUUAAUAC